CAGUCGCCGCGGGAAUACGUAGGGUGCGAGCGUUAAUCGGAAUUACUGGGCGUAAAGCGUGCGCAGGCGGUUGUGUAAGACAGGUGUGAAAUCCCCGGGCUCAACCUGGGAACUGCGUUCUGAACUGGGUGACUAGAGUGUGUCAGAGGGGGGUAGAAUUCCACGUGUAGCAGUGAAAUGCGUAGAGAUGUGGAGGAAUACCGAUGGCGAAGGCAGCCCCCUGGGAUAACACUGACGUUCAUGCUCGAAAGCGUGGGUAGCAAACAGGAUUAGAUACCCGUGUAGUCCCUGUCUCUUAUAC
RNAcentral lists this ribosomal RNA (301 nucleotides) under uncultured bacterium. RNAcentral's name for it is "partial 16S ribosomal RNA". It matches the Rfam family "Bacterial small subunit ribosomal RNA", at positions 509 to 807 of the family's 1533-position model. The record is from RNAcentral.